UUUAAGGUUUAAUCUGCUCAAUGAUUAUUUAAAUUGCCGCAGUAUUUUGACUGUGCAAAGGUAGCAUAAUAAUUAGUUUCUUUAUUGGGAACUGGAAUGAAUGAUUGGACGAGAAAAUUUCUGUCUCUUUAUUAUUUUAAUUGAAUUUUACUUUUAAGUUAAAAGGCUUAAAUUUUAUUAGAGGACGAGAAGACCCUAUAGAGUUUAAUUUUUAUUUAAAUAAUUAUUUUUAGUAUUUAUAUAUAUUAUUUAAAUAAAAAUUUAGUUGGGGUGACUAAAAGAUAAGAAUAACUCUUUUAAUUUUUAUCAAUUAUUUUUGAUUAUAAAAUCUUUAUUUUUAAUUUUAAAAUAAAUUACCUUAGGGAUAACAGCGUAAUUCUUUUUUAAAGUUCUUAUUAAAAGAAGAGUUUGCGACCUCGAUGUUGGAUUAAAAUUAAUUUUAGGUGUAGAAGCUUGAAAAUUAAGUCUGUUCGACUUUUAAAAUUUUACAUGAUCUGAGUUUAAACCGGUGUGAGCCA
RNAcentral lists this ribosomal RNA (518 nucleotides) under Pteroptyx tener. Its description in RNAcentral is "partial large subunit ribosomal RNA". It matches the Rfam family "Bacterial large subunit ribosomal RNA", at positions 1846 to 2628 of the family's 2925-position model. Lineage: Eukaryota; Metazoa; Arthropoda; Insecta; Coleoptera; Lampyridae. The record is from RNAcentral.